CCCGCACAAGCGGAGGAGCAUGUGGUUUAAUUCGAUGAUACGCGAGGAACCUUACCGUGGCUUGAAAGUUAGUGACAUUCUGUGAAAGCAGAACUUCCGCAAGGACACGAAACUAGGUGCUGCAUGGCUGUCGUCAGCUCGUGCCGUGAGGUGUUGGGUUAAGUCCCGUAACGAGCGCAACCCCUAUCAUUAGUUGCCAUCAGGUCAUGCGUGGGGACUCUAAUGAGACUGCCCGCGCAAGCGGUGAGGAAGGUGGGGACGACGUCAAGUCAUCACGGCCCUUACGUCCAGGGCUACACACGUGCUACAAUGGUAGAUACAGCAGGUUGCCACAUGGUAACAUGGAGCUAAUCCCAAAAGUCUAUCUCAGUUCGGAUUGAGGUCUGCAACUCGACCUCAUGAAGCUGGAUUCGCUAGUAAUCGAAAAUCAGCAAUGUUUCGGUGAAUACGUUCCCGGGCCUU
This 462-nucleotide ribosomal RNA is filed under the name uncultured Sphingobacteriales bacterium. RNAcentral describes it as "bacterial SSU rRNA". It matches the Rfam family "Bacterial small subunit ribosomal RNA", at positions 920 to 1382 of the family's 1533-position model. The record is from RNAcentral. Lineage: Bacteria; Pseudomonadati; Bacteroidota; Sphingobacteriia; Sphingobacteriales.